This 398-nucleotide unclassified non-coding RNA is filed under the name Hevea brasiliensis (rubber tree). Lineage: Eukaryota; Viridiplantae; Streptophyta; Magnoliopsida; Malpighiales; Euphorbiaceae. The record is from RNAcentral.
UUUUAGUAAAUUACACAGAGAAAUCUAGAGCAACAAAAUACAAAACAAAAGGGCAUUGACGACUAGCAGGAUUUAUAACAAAAGAUCAAUCUUCGUUCAACAGACUUCUGGCCAGACCAGAAAACACCAGAGAUCACAUUUGGCAUCUACAGAGGGCCUCAGUCAAUCAAAAAGUUCCUCCAAACCAUUUAAAACCAUGUCUUCCCUCCUAUUCAGAAGGGAAGGCAGAGGAGAGAAAUUCUUCAUCCUCCAAAAAUAUCUGCAGAUUCUUUGUUUUCAUCAAGAACUCAACAGCUGCCUCAUCAAAUUCCAGGAUGAACCCAAACUUGAUCAAUUCAGCCAGCUGAGGCACAAAAUCUUCUUUCUCCUUAAGAAUUCCCUCAGCAACUACUUCAGAG